CCCAGGCCCUCCCGGAGGCGCUGACCCCUCGCUCAUCAAAGGUCAGGGGCCGGCCUAGAAUCGGGCGAGAAGAAAGGGACGCGCCCUCGGCCACUAAAAGGAGCCUGAGGCCUCCGAACCGGAGCCAUCGCUCCCUGGGCCCCGUCCACGUCACAGCCAGGCCACUCAAGCAUGGGGACAGGAGCCAAUGUGGACAGGAAUUUAUUGGAAACACACACCCAUCCUAUUAACUGCUUUACAGAGCACUUCUGUUUUUCAGUUGCAGAAACUUAUAAAAACAUCCCCCUGCUCUCCGUUGAGAGUUUAAGGAUAGUUUUUGAGGCCAGAGAAAGAGAAAAGGAGAGAUCACUAGAAAGAUAGGAAGAAAAGAAGUGGGAAGAAAAGGAGAUGCAGUCUACCAUGUAAGCCUCCAGGCUCCUUAGCCUCACCUUAUAAAGCCACAUCACCGCAGAGAUAGCAAAGAUCGUGCCCUUUCCCAGGGAGUUCCUACCGCCAGGGUAAGAUUUAAAGCGGCCACCCCAGUUGGUCAAAGUGAUUGCUGGGCGCCUUUCUAUCUCCCCAAGUUCACCUUUUCCAGUUGGUCAAAGCGAUUGCUGGGCGCCUUCUAUCUCCCCAAGUCCACCUUUUUCCAUUCUCAUCUGAAAGCCAGCCCCAAAGAAAUCUCACCGGAAGUCCUCUGUCCUCCCUGUCAGAAUCCCACCCUCAGUCUGAAUUUACUCCCGAUUCUCACAGCACAGAAAGGCACCUGCUUUUACCCUUUCUGAAAACCACCCACCCAGGCUGGCCUUACAGCCUGGAGAGUCUUUUCCUCGGGCACAAUAAUGAACCAUGCAAGUGUUAGAAAUAUAAUCAGCUCAUGAGGCGAAGAGCAGUAUGUAUGGAAUUGUAUUAGCAUGAGGCACACACUGACUCGGGAGAAAAAGGGAUGCUUAGCUGGUGAAAACCAUCACAUCCCCGUAUAGAAGGCUUUUUGCACAAUGUAAGUUGGGUUCAGAUUAAUGUAAGUAUCUAACCUGUUGGGUACAGACAGCCCCUUUCUACAUUUUAGUCCAGAAUAGAUUCUGGGGAAAUUUAUUUAUUUAUUUAUUUAUUUCAGCUAAGGCCCUGGGAGAAAAGACUGCCUCCAGGGAAUCAUGUCCGAUUAGGGACAAAGGAGGGCACAAGCCCAAUUCAGUCACACGUGAGAGCACGGGGGCCGGGUGGGGGGAGUUAAGAGCCAACAGGGAAGGUGGAGGAUGAGUUUGCAAACCAGACUAUGGUCACUGCAGAGCUGCUUCCAGACCACCUGACUUCAGGCCCAAGAACAGGUGGUGUUUUCAAAACACACUGUUAUUUAUAUUGGCCAUAUAAGUUGAGAACACCUUAAAGAAAACAAUUAAUAAUUUAAUUGAAAAAGUGACUAUGAAUAAGACAUGAAGAUGACGUAUGCUAGCAGGACCGCAAGCAACGUGGCCCACAACGCAGAGAUGCCUCUGGCAAUCUCUCCGGAAAAACGAAGAUUCCUUACCUGGGAUAGGGGACAACCUCGUAAUCUGGUGACAUCAUGAUCCUGGUAGGCCCACAGACAAAUACCUUCAAUAAAAUAAAAGCUAGAAAGCCCAAAGAACAAGCUAUUAAAGUAACCUGGGAGGAUGCAGCACUGCCUGGGCAGAAGGCCCGGACGGGAUCUGCCCUAAUACUGCCACUGUCCCAAGAGGCAGACCCUGCAACCUGCCUCCUGCACUUGAGAGGCCUGACAAGUAGAACUGAGAGUGACCCUGAGUUCCUUUUCUUUAUCUGGCACCAGCUACACACAUGAUGAGGCCUAGUCAAGCCUGCCUUUGUUCCAGGCAAAAAUUUAACAGGUAAUCCACAGGCAGGUGAUCUAUGGCCUCUGUACAUUAUGGAAAUGAGGGACUACACACAAGCUGGGUGUCACCUCUACUAAAACUCAUUUUCCUUAUUCAUAAAAACAAUACCUCUUCAGAGGGAAUUGGCAACUUCUGCACUUACAUAUGAAAUCAGGAGUUCCUCUGAAAUACUCCUUGCAAAUUCUAUCCUCCAGCUCUGGAAGCCCUGGCUCUUCGGAGGGCAGCUGCCUGAUGUUAAACCCAUGGCCUACCCAGCAGUGACAGCCUGACAUUCUCAUCGCUCCAUCCUGAACACUGCUGACAAAUAAACCCACUCUCAGAAAAGGCAA
Long non-coding RNA from Homo sapiens (human), 2179 nucleotides. RefSeq lists it as uncharacterized. The transcript has 2 exons. The record is from RefSeq and is a predicted model, not a curated record. Lineage: Eukaryota; Metazoa; Chordata; Mammalia; Primates; Hominidae.